Molecule: ribosomal RNA, 472 nt
Filed under: uncultured fungus
Lineage: Eukaryota; Fungi
Description: eukaryotic LSU rRNA
Rfam family: 5.8S ribosomal RNA (bases 145-290)
Source: RNAcentral
CGUCGGAAGGAUCAUUACAAAUCUUUUGCGAGAACUGUGUGCUGCUUGCAGUGCACAGUGACUUGCAACAUUAGCACAGGGUCGCAAGACUCUGAUGUUUACGCUUGUUUGUUUGACAGAGUUAGUUGAGAAUUAAAUAAAGACAACUUUUAACAAUGGAUCUCUUGGCUCUUGCAACGAUGAAGAACGCAGUAAAGUGCGAUAUGUAGUGCGAUUUGCAUGAAUCUGUGAGUCAUCUAAUCUUUGAACGCAACUUGCGCCUUUUACGAGGCAUGUUUGUUUGAGUGUCGCAAUCUUCUGCAGCAAUGCGAUUUGACACGUGUCUUUGUUGACCGAGUUUAAACAGAGCUAGAGGAUGGUCAGUUUGGACUAGUCCGAGUGCUAAGCAUUCUUGGGUCUAGGACGGAUUGGUUAUUAAAUCUAACUUUUUAUUUUUGGCCUCAAAUCAAGCAAGACUACCCGCUGAACUUAA